Molecule: ribosomal RNA, 1540 nt
Filed under: Klebsiella pneumoniae
Lineage: Bacteria; Pseudomonadati; Pseudomonadota; Gammaproteobacteria; Enterobacterales; Enterobacteriaceae
Description: bacterial SSU rRNA
Rfam family: Bacterial small subunit ribosomal RNA
Source: RNAcentral
AAAUUGAAGAGUUUGAUCAUGGCUCAGAUUGAACGCUGGCGGCAGGCCUAACACAUGCAAGUCGAGCGGUAGCACAGAGAGCUUGCUCUCGGGUGACGAGCGGCGGACGGGUGAGUAAUGUCUGGGAAACUGCCUGAUGGAGGGGGAUAACUACUGGAAACGGUAGCUAAUACCGCAUAACGUCGCAAGACCAAAGUGGGGGACCUUCGGGCCUCAUGCCAUCAGAUGUGCCCAGAUGGGAUUAGCUAGUAGGUGGGGUAACGGCUCACCUAGGCGACGAUCCCUAGCUGGUCUGAGAGGAUGACCAGCCACACUGGAACUGAGACACGGUCCAGACUCCUACGGGAGGCAGCAGUGGGGAAUAUUGCACAAUGGGCGCAAGCCUGAUGCAGCCAUGCCGCGUGUGUGAAGAAGGCCUUCGGGUUGUAAAGCACUUUCAGCGGGGAGGAAGGCGGUAAGGUUAAUAACCUCAUCGAUUGACGUUACCCGCAGAAGAAGCACCGGCUAACUCCGUGCCAGCAGCCGCGGUAAUACGGAGGGUGCAAGCGUUAAUCGGAAUUACUGGGCGUAAAGCGCACGCAGGCGGUCUGUCAAGUCGGAUGUGAAAUCCCCGGGCUCAACCUGGGAACUGCAUUCGAAACUGGCAGGCUAGAGUCUUGUAGAGGGGGGUAGAAUUCCAGGUGUAGCGGUGAAAUGCGUAGAGAUCUGGAGGAAUACCGGUGGCGAAGGCGGCCCCCUGGACAAAGACUGACGCUCAGGUGCGAAAGCGUGGGGAGCAAACAGGAUUAGAUACCCUGGUAGUCCACGCCGUAAACGAUGUCGAUUUGGAGGUUGUGCCCUUGAGGCGUGGCUUCCGGAGCUAACGCGUUAAAUCGACCGCCUGGGGAGUACGGCCGCAAGGUUAAAACUCAAAUGAAUUGACGGGGGCCCGCACAAGCGGUGGAGCAUGUGGUUUAAUUCGAUGCAACGCGAAGAACCUUACCUGGUCUUGACAUCCACAGAACUUUCCAGAGAUGGAUUGGUGCCUUCGGGAACUGUGAGACAGGUGCUGCAUGGCUGUCGUCAGCUCGUGUUGUGAAAUGUUGGGUUAAGUCCCGCAACGAGCGCAACCCUUAUCCUUUGUUGCCAGCGGUUCGGCCGGGAACUCAAAGGAGACUGCCAGUGAUAAACUGGAGGAAGGUGGGGAUGACGUCAAGUCAUCAUGGCCCUUACGACCAGGGCUACACACGUGCUACAAUGGCAUAUACAAAGAGAAGCGACCUCGCGAGAGCAAGCGGACCUCAUAAAGUAUGUCGUAGUCCGGAUUGGAGUCUGCAACUCGACUCCAUGAAGUCGGAAUCGCUAGUAAUCGUAGAUCAGAAUGCUACGGUGAAUACGUUCCCGGGCCUUGUACACACCGCCCGUCACACCAUGGGAGUGGGUUGCAAAAGAAGUAGGUAGCUUAACCUUCGGGAGGGCGCUUACCACUUUGUGAUUCAUGACUGGGGUGAAGUCGUAACAAGGUAACCGUAGGGGAACCUGCGGUUGGAUCACCUCCUUA